Molecule: unclassified non-coding RNA, 250 nt
Filed under: plant metagenome
Description: partial contains small subunit ribosomal RNA, internal transcribed spacer 1, and 5.8S ribosomal RNA
Source: RNAcentral
UUCCGAAGGUGAUGCCCAGGAAGCCUUAGCUGCCUGAAAGGGUGUGCUCCGCGACUCGAUUAAACAAUGGACGCUUAAAUGCUAGUCAGUAUAGUUGCUGGCCACACCGUCAAAUUGCGGGAAGCUCCUAAAGCUCUCAGCUACCAAGCAGUGUAAGGAAACCUCACUGUGGCCAGGGUAAUGACCUCGGGUAUGGUAAUAACGCUGGAGAUAAACCUCUCGAUACGAGGUGAAAUGGAUAAUCCGCAGC